Molecule: long non-coding RNA, 2494 nt
Filed under: Homo sapiens (human)
Lineage: Eukaryota; Metazoa; Chordata; Mammalia; Primates; Hominidae
Description: SWI/SNF complex interacting GAS6 enhancer non-coding RNA (SWINGN)
Source: RNAcentral
GCAGUCAGGACUUAGCUUCCCAGCUGUGAUCUAAAUCCCAGCCUCCCAAAGGCACAGCGCCUAAGUUCUCCCCUGCCAAGCUCACAGCCUUCUCCUUGGCAGGCUGCCCUUUCUCCUGCUGGACCAAACCAAGGAGCACGGUGACCCAGGGACACCACACUCGGUGUCAGCCUCUGAGGCCAUGGAGCCACGCAGACCCAGCACAGGAUUAGAAACAGACCUUCCCGGGAGGCAGAGAGCCAGGCCUCCUGGUUUAUAGCAUGACAAGGCAGCACUCAGGAGGACGCAUCAAUCCUUCUCCAUGUCAGCACCUGUGACUGUGACCACUGGUGAGGUGGACAUGCUUCUUUUUCCAUUUUACAGAUGAGGAAACUGAGGCCAAGGGAGGGUCAGCAGCCUGCCCUGGGCUGACUGGUGAUGCAGCGAGGGUGGGGUGUGGGAGGGUGGCGGCGGCCCUUGCAGUCCCUGGGAACCUGCACCUCUUCCUGGGCGCUGUUCCCCUCUCUCUCCCAGGACCCUUGGGCCUGGCGUUUCUUCACCUGCGACCAUCCAGGAGCUGGACCUGCCCUAGGGCGUCAGUUUCCAGGGAAGCCUCUGGCCUGUGUGUGAGCCUCCCCACCUGCCCGGCCACGGCCUCCACAGGCGCCCUGCGCAGCCCCGCCCCUCCUGGGGCAAAGGCUUUGCGAAGACUUUCUUCUCUGGCUCAUCCCUUUAAGGAGGCAUAAAAACGAACCCCGGGCCUCACAGGUCCGGAAUGCGCCCCCCUCCACGAUGGGAGCUUCUUGGCCUUGGCUGUGCAGGGGCCGCGGCUCCUGGGGGUCUGGCCGGAUCUGCAGUAGUGCUGAAUGAGCUGUGGCCAGGAAGACGCAAUGAAUAAUUGUCACUUAAAAGGAUAAACAGAAAUUCCAUUUCCCUUUUAAAUACUUGAACAUUUCAAAACAUCUGGAGGACGCGAUGCUUUUCCUUCCAAGCAUCUCCGUGGAGUUUUGUGGGUUACCGCAGAGGAUCGGCAGCAUUCCUCUCUCAGGGAAAACUGGCCUGAGCAUUGCAUAACGCAGGCAGACUGCACCCCUCACGUCGCCUGGGGCCACAUGCACAUGUUUCCAAGAGACUUGCUGGAGAAUCUUCCCCGGAUCUUGACAAAGUUGGACAUGGAAAGCACGUUGGUCCAUCCAAGGUCCACAGAGCGACCCUGGCUAUGAAAAAUCAUCCUCCGAGUGGGAGUCUGUCUGCCAGGAGUGAGGUGACACCGCACAUGGCCUCAGGAGCUGGAAACGCUGGUGAAUUCAGAUGCAGCCAAAGCUUCUAACUUAGUCACAGUUAUUAAUUAUUCUUGGUCUUAUUGGAGCAGGAACCACUGCCAUGCAUCAGGCCAGCAAGGCUCACUCCCCACCGUAGGAUCCCUGUGUAGACGGUCGCUCCAUCAGUGUAGUUGGGUGUGUGGAGCAAGGGACUGGGCUGACCCUACCUUCCAAGCAUCGAUGUGGCCUUCAGCAGAGCAGGAGGAGAUAGCCCAGGACUUGUACUUUGCAGUUGAAGUGCCAGACCUAAGAAAUGCAAACCUGAGGAUGGAAAGAGGGUGGAGAGGGGGGAGGUGUCUGGAUUGGCCGUCCAGAGCAGCCCCAGCUGCAGCAAGUGGAACUUGGCUGGCUGCCUCACAGGCCUGGUGGCAGCGUCCCCAGCGAGGAGCCUGUCCCACAUAUGAAGGUCCCCAUACCCUUAGCCCCUAGCUGAGAGUUUCACUGACCAGAGCUCCCUGAGUCCAGGGCUCCACUCAAGGGACUGCUGUCCCCGUUGGUGAAGAAGGCCUGUUGGGGCCAAUGCUUCCCCCCACAGGGAAGCGGAGCUGUAUUUUGUCGGACAGAACUUUGCAAGCCUGAAACAGCUGGUGGUGGCCCCAGAGCCAAGAUCUGACCUCACUCCAGAGUUGAAGGGCACAGAGAAGGCACAGCUAGAGGCGGCAGGUACCCCUCAAAGCUCUCGGGAGAGGGUACAAAGUGGGACCUCCCAGCACCCUUGGCCUCCAGGCCUCAAAAGCCCUGAGAGGGCUGCAUGCAAGGAGACAAAGCUGGAGAAGGAUGUGGGAGGCAGGUGGCUAAGAAGACAGGCUGGAAAGGGACGUGGGAGGUAGGUGGCUUUGCUCUAAACAGAAUCGUCUCAGUAAUGUGACACUGCACAUGUAUAGGUAGGCUCGCUCAUGGGCAUAACCCUCUAAAACACACCUUUUAUGGAGUGAAAUUCACUUAACAGCCAUCUUGAAGCAUAUACUUCGGCGGCAUUUGCUGGAUUCACGACGUUGUGCAACCUCUGCUUCUCCAGUUUCAGAACAUUUCAUCCCUCCAGAACAACAGCUCAUCCCCAUUAAGUAAUCACUCCUCAUUCCUUCCCCAUCCUCUGGAAACCACAGAUCUGCUUUCUGUCUCUAUGGAUUUGUCCGUUUUGGAUAUUUCAUAUAAAAGGAAUCACGCGGUGUGCGAAAAAAAAAAAAAAAAAA